Molecule: ribosomal RNA, 492 nt
Filed under: uncultured bacterium
Lineage: Bacteria
Description: partial 16S ribosomal RNA
Rfam family: Bacterial small subunit ribosomal RNA
Source: RNAcentral
AGUGAACGCUGGCGGUAGGCCUAACACAUGCAAGUCGAACGGCAGCACAGUAAGAGCUUGCUCUUACGGGUGGCGAGUGGCGGACGGGUGAGGAAUACAUCGGAAUCUACUUUUUCGUGGGGGAUAACGUAGGGAAACUUACGCUAAUACCGCAUACGACCUACGGGUGAAAGCAGGGGAUCUUCGGACCUUGCGCGAUUGAAUGAGCCGAUGUCGGAUUAGCUAGUUGGCGGGGUAAAGGCCCACCAAGGCGACGAUCCGUAGCUGGUCUGAGAGGAUGAUCAGCCACACGGGAACUGAGACACGGUCCAGACUCCAACGGGAGGCAGCAGUGGGGAAUAUUGGACAAUGGGCGCAGGCCUGAUCCAGCCAUACCGCGUGGGUGAAGAAGGCCUUCGGGUGGUAAAGCCCUUUUGUUGAGAAAGAAAAGCAGCAGGGUAAUACCCCGCUGUUCUGACGGUACCCAAAGAAUAAGCACCGGCUAACUUCGUG